Lepidothrix coronata (blue-crowned manakin) is the source of this 598-nucleotide long non-coding RNA. RefSeq lists it as uncharacterized. The record is from RefSeq and is a predicted model, not a curated record. NCBI's taxonomy places the organism in Eukaryota, Metazoa, Chordata, Aves, Passeriformes, Pipridae. The transcript has 3 exons.
UGUCAGGAGGCAGUACAGUAAUGACUGUGCCUCUGCAGAUGGGACCCAGGAGCACAAGGUAUCACUGAGAUACAGAUUCCUAAUCAACAAAGCAUUCUCCAGGAACUCUGCAGUUCUGGACUGGGACUUCUCCAUGAUGGGUUCCACUGCCCCUGCUGUUAUCCUUUAGCAAUCCCUAAUUCAUAUUAUCAGCAGGGAACCAGAGACAAAGCCAAAACAUUCAUGACAAGGACCAGAAUCACUGUGCAGGAGGUUGUCAGAAGACUUCCUCUCCAACAAGAAGGAGAGAAAAUUAAAAGAAAGAACUAAGAAAGAGCAAAGAAAAAGGAGAAAUGGCUUAAGAAAGUGUUAUUCACAGGUGCAGCCCAGGGAUGUUACAAGACCCAGUUUUCUCACUGGAUUAGUUUCUACUAUGGCUAAAAACAGCAUCUACUACAACAGGAACCAGACCUCUCUUGGAACCAUGAGCCAGCACUUGGAUAAAAAUUCUGACUUUGCCAGAUUGUGGCUUCUUUUCUAUUUCUUACCUCCUUAUACAAAAAUAGUAAAUAUAUAGUGCAUAACAUCAUAGAAAACAAGGAGUUCUUUCUAUUCCCUU